GCAUAUCAAUAAGCGGAGGAAAAAGAAACCAACAGGGAUUGCCCUUAGUAACGGCGAAGUGAAGCGGCAACAGCUCAAAUUUGAAAUCUGGCCUCUUUUGGGGUCCGAGUUGUAAUUUGCAGAGGGCGCUUUGGCGUUGGCAGCGGUCCAAGUUCCUUGGAACAGGACGUCACAGAGGGUGAGAAUCCCGUACGUGGUCGCUGGCCUUCGCCGUGUAAAGCCCCUUCGACGAGUCGAGUUGUUUGGGAAUGCAGCUCUAAAUGGGAGGUAAAUUUCUUCUAAAGCUAAAUACUGGCCAGAGACCGAUAGCGCACAAGUAGAGUGAUCGAAAGAUGAAAAGCACUUUGGAAAGAGAGUCAAACAGCACGUGAAAUUGUUGAAAGGGAAGCGCUUGCAGCCAGACUUGCCUGUAGUUGCUCAUCCGGGCUUUUGCCCGGUGCACUCUUCUAUAGGCAGGCCAGCAUCAGUUUGGGCGGUUAGAUAAAGGUCUCUGUCAUGUACCUCUCUUCGGGGAGAACUUAUAGGGGAGACGACAUGUAACCAGCCCAGAUUGAGGUCCGCGCAUUUGCUAGGAUGCUGGCGUAAUGGCUGUAAGCGGCCCGUCUUGAAACACGGACCAAGGAGUCUAACAUCUAUGCGAGUGUUUGGGUGUCAAGCCCGAGCGCGCAAUGAAAGUGAACGGAGGUGGGAACCCCUCGGGGUGCACCAUCGACCGAUCCUGAUGUCUUCGGAUGGAUUUGAGUAAGAGCAUAGCUGUUGGGACCCGAAAGAUGGUGAACUAUGCUUGAAUAGGGUGAAGCCAGAGGAAACUCUGGUGGAGGCUCGCAGCGGUUCUGACGUGCAAAUCGAUCGUCAAAUUUGGGCAUAGGGGCGAAAGACUAAUCGAACUAUCUAGUAGCUGGUUUCCUGCCGAAG
This 915-nucleotide ribosomal RNA is filed under the name Thyrostroma compactum. RNAcentral's name for it is "LSU rRNA". It matches the Rfam family "Eukaryotic large subunit ribosomal RNA", at positions 38 to 966 of the family's 3401-position model. The record is from RNAcentral. Lineage: Eukaryota; Fungi; Ascomycota; Dothideomycetes.